CUUGAUGGAGUUUUGUUUCAAUGAGGUUGGAGUACCGAAUAAGUUGGAUCUCUAGUGAGGCUGUGUCUGUAUUGUGUGGAGGACAGGUAGUGUGUUGGAAGAUUUGCUAGUGAUGUGAUAAAUUAGUCGUCGGCUUGUAUAUCUGUUUUGAUCCCGGGUUAUUGUUAUUAAGUCACACAGCGAGGAAGUUGUGUGACGGGUUAUAUCCUCUGUACUUUGUAUAUUAUAUUGGGGUUAGUAUUACUUCUUUUUUGUGGUAAUGUUGAAAUUCUGGUAGAGUUGUUUUAGGGUUUAUUAACUGUGGCGUGAUCGAGGUGUUGAUAAGGUUGAGCUUUGUAUCAUUUAACAAGUAAUAGUAUUAGCUUUUUUGUUUCUUGGUUGAGGCCCAUCUGUUUAUUAAAAACAUUUCUAUAAGUAUGAUUGUUUUAUAGUAGUGCCUGCUCUAUGUUGUGAUAAAUGGCCGCAGUAUCUUGACUGUGCGAAGGUAGCAUAAUUAAUUGCCCUUUAAUUAAGGGCUUGUUUGAAUGGUUUGAUGAGGUUUAAGGAUAACAUUAUGGCUUUGUUUGAAAUUGAUUUUGCGGAUGCAGAAUUUGUAUGGAUUAAUUAGACGGAAAGACCCUAGGAUCUUUUGUUUUUGCUUGGGGCCAGUGGGAGUAUUUUACUUUUUUUGGGAACCCUGUGGAUAAGAGAUGUAAGUUACCCUAGGGAUAACAGUGUGAUAGUCUAGUAGAGGUCUUAUCGAUUAGACUGUUUGCCACCUCGAUGUUGACUUGGGUGUAUACUCUGGUGUAGCAGCUUGAGUUUUGGGUCUGUUCGACCUUUGGUGCCCCCAUGAGUUGAGUUAAGACCGGCGUGA
This 856-nucleotide ribosomal RNA is filed under the name Bothridium pithonis. RNAcentral describes it as "partial 16S ribosomal RNA". The stretch from base 604 to 856 matches the Rfam family "Bacterial large subunit ribosomal RNA", at positions 2076 to 2624 of the family's 2925-position model. Lineage: Eukaryota; Metazoa; Platyhelminthes; Cestoda; Diphyllobothriidea; Diphyllobothriidae. The record is from RNAcentral.